AUGAAAUAUCGAUAUAUAUGCUAUGUCUGUGUGAUAUGUAAAGCUUGGGGGAGGGGUGGUAGGUGGAUGUUACUAAAUCGACCUGAAAUCUUUCCUCAAAGACAAACGGUGAGUAAAUCACCCUACUGGCUGAAGCAUCCUCCCUCUUCUCAGCGAGAAGCCGGAUUAAGGACCAGGCAGGAAUUAUCCAGUUCUCCAUCUCUGCCAGCUACCAGGAUGACUAAAAGAGUGCAAUUUCCAUCCUCACAAGAGAGAAUUCAAGGGAACUUGGGACUUCGUUCAAAUCAACACUGCCUCCUGGGGUACAAGAAUCAGAGAAGUUUGGCAGAGUAUUGGCCAAAUGAUAGUGG
This 350-nucleotide long non-coding RNA is filed under the name Monodelphis domestica (gray short-tailed opossum). RNAcentral's name for it is "lncRNA (ENSMODG00000036501.1)". The record is from RNAcentral. Lineage: Eukaryota; Metazoa; Chordata; Mammalia; Didelphimorphia; Didelphidae.